UCUAAGCAUGAGCCAAUUAAUGGUGAAGCCGCGAAUAGCUCAUUACAACAGCCAUUGUUUACUUGAUCUUGAUAUCCUACUUGGAUAACUGUGGUAAUUCUAGAGCUAAUACACGCACCAAAGCUCAGACCUUACGGGACGAGCGCAUUUAUUAGAACGCUACCAAUCGGGAUUCGGCUCGCCGUUGGUGACUCUGGAUAACUCAGCUGAUCGCAUGGUCAUUGCACCGGCGACUCAUCUUUCUAAGUGUCUGCCUGAUCAACUUUCGAUGGUAGAUUAUGUGUCUACCAUGGUUGUGACGGGUUACGGAGAAUAAGGGUUCGACUCCGGAGAGGGAGCCUGAGACACGGCUACCACAUCCAAGGAAGGCAGCAGGCGCGUAAAUUACCCAAUCUCAGCACGAGGAGGUAGUGACGAAAAAUAACGAGACCGUUCUCUAUGAGGCCGGUUAUCGGAAUGGGUACAAUUUAAA
This 472-nucleotide ribosomal RNA is filed under the name unidentified nematode Sourhope farm. Its description in RNAcentral is "SSU rRNA". It matches the Rfam family "Eukaryotic small subunit ribosomal RNA", at positions 58 to 529 of the family's 1831-position model. Lineage: Eukaryota; Metazoa; Nematoda. The record is from RNAcentral.